Molecule: long non-coding RNA, 457 nt
Organism: Dalotia coriaria
Lineage: Eukaryota; Metazoa; Arthropoda; Insecta; Coleoptera; Staphylinidae
Exons: 6
Source: RefSeq, a predicted model, not a curated record
AAUUCUAUUUUUGUGUUUACCAAGUGGGGUUUUGCUUGUACAACGUUGGAAGACCUAACCUCAGUUCGAUUAUUAUUGGUUGAGGUAUGAAAGCGUUAUUGGGACUGCAACCAAGAUAUAAAGAAGAUCGGGAAUGAAUCAAUGAUGCGGUGUGGUACAAGAAAUUGUCUUCAAAAAAUUAACUGGAUUUUGCACCUGAGUCUGACAUCGUAGAAGGACCAUUCUUGCAUCAGAUUGGAUUUGUACCUGAGUCUGACAUCGUAGAAGGACCAUUCUUGCAUCAGAUUGUGGGAAUUUUGCACCUGAGUCUGACAUGGUAGAAGGAUCAUUCUUGCAUCAGAUUGAGGACUACUUUUUGCUGCUUUUAUGGAUUUUGCACCUGAGUCUGACAUUGUAGAAAGACAAUUCUUCCGUCAGAUUGACUAAUUUUUGCUGUUUUUAUGGAUUUUGCACCCGA